RNAcentral lists this ribosomal RNA (472 nucleotides) under Penicillium commune. RNAcentral describes it as "eukaryotic LSU rRNA". The stretch from base 107 to 259 matches the Rfam family "5.8S ribosomal RNA". Lineage: Eukaryota; Fungi; Ascomycota; Eurotiomycetes; Eurotiales; Aspergillaceae. The record is from RNAcentral.
CUUUACUGGCCGCCGGGGGGCUCACGCCCCCGGGCCCGCGCCCGCCGAAGACACCCCCGAACUCUGUCUGAAGAUUGAAGUCUGAGUGAAAAUAUAAAUUAUUUAAAACUUUCAACAACGGAUCUCUUGGUUCCGGCAUCGAUGAAGAACGCAGCGAAAUGCGAUACGUAAUGUGAAUUGCAAAUUCAGUGAAUCAUCGAGUCUUUGAACGCACAUUGCGCCCCCUGGUAUUCCGGGGGGCAUGCCUGUCCGAGCGUCAUUGCUGCCCUCAAGCCCGGCUUGUGUGUUGGGCCCCGUCCUCCGAUUCCGGGGGACGGGCCCGAAAGGCAGCGGCGGCACCGCGUCCGGUCCUCGAGCGUAUGGGGCUUUGUCACCCGCUCUGUAGGCCCGGCCGGCGCUUGCCGAUCAACCCAAAUUUUUAUCCAGGUUGACCUCGGAUCAGGUAGGGAUACCCGCUGAACUUAAGCAUAUC